This 433-nucleotide ribosomal RNA is filed under the name uncultured bacterium. Its description in RNAcentral is "partial 16S ribosomal RNA". It matches the Rfam family "Bacterial small subunit ribosomal RNA", at positions 29 to 507 of the family's 1533-position model. The record is from RNAcentral.
AGCGAACGCUGGCGGCAGGCUUAACACAUGCAAGUCGAGCGGACCUUUCGGGGUCAGCGGCGGACGGGUGAGUAACGCGUGGGAACGUGCCUUCCGGUUCGGAAUAACCCUGGGAAACUAGGGCUAAUACCGGAUACGCCCUUAUGGGGAAAGGUUUACUGCCGGACGAUCGGCCCGCGUCUGAUUAGCUAGUUGGUGGGGUAACGGCCUACCAAGGCGACGAUCAGUAGCUGGUCUGAGAGGAUGAUCAGCCACACUGGGACUGAGACACGGCCCAGACUCCUACGGGAGGCAGCAGUGGGGAAUAUUGGACAAUGGGCGCAAGCCUGAUCCAGCCAUGCCGCGUGAGUGAUGAAGGCCUUAGGGUUGUAAAGCUCUUUUAUCCGGGACGAUAAUGACGGUACCGGAGGAAUAAGCCCCGGCUAACUUCGUG